Molecule: transfer RNA, 82 nt
Filed under: Dendronephthya gigantea
Lineage: Eukaryota; Metazoa; Cnidaria; Anthozoa; Malacalcyonacea; Nephtheidae
Description: tRNA-Leu
Rfam family: tRNA
About the family: Transfer RNA (tRNA) molecules are approximately 80 nucleotides in length. Their secondary structure includes four short double-helical elements and three loops (D, anti-codon, and T loops).
Source: RNAcentral
GGUAGCGUGGCCGAGUGGUCUAAGGCGCUGGUUUCAGGUACCAGUCAAUUCGAUGGCGUGGGUUCGAAUUCCACCGCUGCCA